RNAcentral lists this small RNA (120 nucleotides) under Arabidopsis thaliana (thale cress). RNAcentral's name for it is "ATSL054680". Lineage: Eukaryota; Viridiplantae; Streptophyta; Magnoliopsida; Brassicales; Brassicaceae. The record is from RNAcentral.
UUAAUUAUCAAAAACAUUUAUUAAAUGUCAGUGACAGCCACUGUAAAUAAGUCCCAACUUGAGGAUUUAUUUCACAAAGUGGCUGCAAAAAUGUAUAUGUAGAUUCGAACUUUUUUUCUU